This 433-nucleotide ribosomal RNA is filed under the name Aglymbus bimaculatus. Its description in RNAcentral is "partial 16S ribosomal RNA". The record is from RNAcentral. Lineage: Eukaryota; Metazoa; Arthropoda; Insecta; Coleoptera; Dytiscidae.
CCUGCCCCUGAUUAAUUUAACGGCCGCAGUAAUUUGACUGUGCAAAGGUAGCAUAAUCAUUAGUUUUUUAAUUAAAAGCUUGUAUGAAAGGUUGGACGAGAUAAAAUCUGUCUUUAUUUAAUUUAUUAUAGAAUUUAAUUUUUAAGUUAAAAAGCUUAAAUAUUUAUAAAAGACGAGAAGACCCUAUAGAUCUUUAUAUUAUUAUAGAUAGAUUUAAUUAAGAAUAUUUUAUUUUUUAUUUAUGUUAAUAUUAUAUUGGGGUAAUAGAAAGAUUAAAUUAAUUUUUUUUUAUUUUAAAUAUUAAUUAAUAAUUAUAUGAUCCAUUAAUUUUGAUUGUAAGAUUAAGUUACCUUAGGGAUAACAGCGUAAUUUUUUUAAAGAGUUCAUAUCGAUAAAAAAGUUUGCGACCUCGAUGUUGGAUUAAAAAUUAUCU